ACGUAGGGGGCGAGCGUUGUCCGGAAUUAUUGGGCGUAAAGCGCGUGUAGGCGGCUAUCCAAGUCCGGUGUGAAAGCUCGGGGCUCAACCCCGAGUCUGCAUUGGAUACUGGGUAGCUAGAGUCCGGAAGAGGAGACUGGAAUUCCUAGUGUAGCGGUGAAAUGCGCAGAUAUCAGGAAGAACACCGGUGGCGAAGGCGGGUCUCUGGGACGGUACUGACGCUGAGACGCGAAAGCGUGGGGAGCAAACAG
This 251-nucleotide ribosomal RNA is filed under the name uncultured prokaryote. RNAcentral describes it as "partial 16S rRNA". It matches the Rfam family "Bacterial small subunit ribosomal RNA", at positions 525 to 775 of the family's 1533-position model. The record is from RNAcentral.